Peromyscus californicus insignis is the source of this 2589-nucleotide RNA transcript. It is a transcript of the gene named regulatory factor X associated ankyrin containing protein, with no coding region annotated. The record is from RefSeq and is a predicted model, not a curated record. The transcript has 10 exons. Lineage: Eukaryota; Metazoa; Chordata; Mammalia; Rodentia; Cricetidae.
AAUCCUUAGCGGGUUGAGGCCUCAGCCCUGCACAAGGGGAACGCGCGCAUGCUCCGCUGUACUUAUUGACCUCUGCGGAAGCCAUGCCCAGUCCUCGGAUCUUAAAGGGCUAGAAGCAGCUUCGGUUCCUUGCACUUUUGCUGGGAAGGGGUGCGCAGGCGCAGUGAGGAGUGCUCCAGUUGGAGUAGUCGUCGCGUAUUAAGUUGCUGCUCUCUGUCCCAGCAGAGGAAGCUAGAGUGCUGAGCGUCCGACCACCAAUUUGCACCUCACUAGAUCCACUGGACCAGAAAAGUUUGUGAAUAGGGGUUCCCGAGUUUUGGGAUACCCAGGCUUGCAGCGUAGGGGGACGGAGGAGGCUGGAGGGAGCUCCCCACAUGGAGCCCACUCAGCUUGCAGAGAACCUUAUCCCAAACCAGCAGUCCCCUGCUCCUGAACUUGAGGAUCCUGAGGACGCCAGAGACGAAUCCCCAGACAGCUCAGAUACUGUGGUCCUCAGUCUGUUCCCCUGCACCCCAGAGGCUGUGAAUCCUGAAGCAGAUGCCAGUGCAUCCUCAUUACAUGGCAGCUUCUUGAAGCACUCAACAACCCUCACAAACCGGCAGCGUGGGAAUGAGGUCUCGGCGCUGCCAGCUACCCUGGAUUCUCUGUCCAUCCACCAGCUUGCAGCCCAAGGGGAGCUGAGCCAACUGAAGGACCAUCUGCGGAAGGGUGACAACCUGAUCAACAAACCAGAUGAACGUGGCUUCACCCCCCUCAUCUGGGCUUCAGCCUUUGGAGAAAUUGAGACAGUUCGCUCCCUGCUAGACUGGGGUGCUGACCCUCACAUCUUGGCCAAGGAGAGGGAGAGCGCCCUGUCGCUUGCCAGCAUGGGCGGUUACACCGACAUUGUGAGGUUGUUGCUUGAACGUGACGUGGACAUCAACAUCUAUGACUGGAACGGGGGGACACCACUACUUUACGCUGUGCGUGGGAACCAUGUGAAGUGUGUGGAGGCCUUACUGGCCCGGGGUGCUGACCUCACCACAGAGGCCGACUCUGGCUACACCCCAAUGGACCUCGCCGUGGCCCUGGGAUACCGCAAAGCACCCGCAGGUGGUAGAUGACCACACGGCCAAAAAAGUCGGUGGUGUCCUCAAAGGUCAACUUCAGUCGAUCCACCUCUACAGUGGGGAUGGAGAAGGUUUGAAGAGCGUUGCUGUCCUCAGGGUAGAGGUCCACAAUCUUGCUGAGGGUGCCCCCGCCCUUUGAACCUGCAGUGGAGAAAGACAAGCUGAGAAUCCAGGGAACCCCUUUGACACCCACCUCUCACGACCUUCCAGUACCUUCCAAGCAGCUGUGGCGACUGGAGAAGCCGCCCUGGAACUGCACCUGCAGCUGUGUGACGUGAACACGCUGGGGAAACUCGAGUGUCACCCACUGGGAGGGGCCCUGGAAGCAGAUGGGUACUUGGUAACCGCAGGGUAAGGGCCUAUUAUGCUCUGCUCACCUGUCAAGUCCCACGGCCACAGCCAGUCCAGGGAGAGUGAGCGCGCAGUCAUUUCUAGUUCUCCCCAAAUUUCUCAAGGCACCCUGCACCCCGAAUGUGCUUCACACUCGGAAUGGAGGGGCGUGGUAGCGCCUCACCUGGUCAGAGUUCCAGCACGUCUCCUCAUCCUGGUCAAAAAGAUGUUUCUUCCCAAACUGCCGGCUGUUGCGAUGAAGCACAGAACUCACCCUGCAGGACAGGAGCAGGGCUAGGGGCCUCGGCACGACUGUGAGCCACCCUCCAGGCCAGCCAGCCCCUCCCGCAAGAACUCCGCCACCACCAGUCUGGAACAAGACCACCAGUCCUCGCCCCCGCCAGGGACACGGCCGCCUGGCUCCGCCCCCAGCCUGCCCCUACCCGACACCAGGUCGGGACCCUAGAUCUCACCUGGCCUCACCACCACUGCUCAGCUCCCAGUUCAUCCGCCCCGAGUCCCACAGUCCUUGAGUCUCACCUGCUCACGGUCUCGGGGCAAACCAAAGACUGGCUCAUCUCGGCUCUGCGACGCCUUGCCCAGAGCUCAGCGCGAGUUCGAACUCCGGCGCUGCCACUCCCCACUUGACCCAGGUGACAAGGCGGGUGAUCCGGGAACCGGAGAGAGACAGAAGCAGCUGCCUAAACUUUACAACCUAGCCCAAGUCUUUCCGCAGAUCUGCGAACCCCACACCAAGACCCGGAACCGCGUGCGGACAGCGCACGCGCAGUGUAGCCAGGACCACCCCUACCCCCACCCCCGAGGUGCUGGGGCGGGGUUUGUGGCGACUUCGCUUCGCCUCUUAAAGAGCCCGCACCCCGAGGUUUCUCAUUCCGUGGAGCUGGAGGGAAAACGCAGGCAGUCCCCCUGCCGGAUACAAAACGUUCUCACACAGCCGUCUUGUGAUCGUGUCUCCUGCGGAGGGCCUCCCUCGCCGCGGAUGCAAUCCAGCUUCCCCAGCAGGGUUUGGUGGGCGCCUGCCGUCCCUCGGGAGGCUAAGCAGGAGGAUUGCAUGUUUCAUGCCAACAUGGACAAUUCAGCAAGAUGUCUCAAAAAUUUUUUUUGGUAUAUAAUAUAUUCCUUAAUUUAU